GACGAACGCUGGCGGCGUGCUUAACACAUGCAAGUCGAACGGAAAGGCCCUGAUUUUGUGGGGUGGUCGAGAGGCGAACGGGUGAGUAAAACGUGAGUAAACUGCCCUUGAAUUUGGGGGAACUCUAGGAAACAGGGGAUAAUACCGGGUAGGAGAUCCUGCAGCAUGGGGGGGGUUGGAAAGAGUCGGCGGUGGGGGAUGGAAUCGCGGCUUAUGAGCUUGUUGGGCGGGUAGGGGCUGACAAGGUCUUGGACGGGUAGCCGGCCUGAGGGGGUUACCGGCCACAUUGCUCCUGAGAUACGCCCCAGACGCCUACCUGAGGCAGCAGUGGGGAAUAUGACACAAUGGGCGGAAGCCUGUUGCAGCAACGCCGCGUUCGUGAUGACGGCCUUCGGGUUGUAAACCGCUUUCGCCUGUGACGAAGCCUGAUUGACGGUAAUUGGUAAAGAAGCACCGGCUAACUACGUG
Molecule: ribosomal RNA, 468 nt
Filed under: uncultured bacterium
Lineage: Bacteria
Description: partial 16S ribosomal RNA
Rfam family: Bacterial small subunit ribosomal RNA
Source: RNAcentral